RNAcentral lists this ribosomal RNA (431 nucleotides) under uncultured bacterium. RNAcentral's name for it is "bacterial SSU rRNA". It matches the Rfam family "Bacterial small subunit ribosomal RNA", at positions 355 to 796 of the family's 1533-position model. The record is from RNAcentral.
UCGAGGAUCUUUGGCAAUGGGCGCAAGCCUGACCAAGCGACGCCGCGUGUGCGAUGAAGGCCUUCGGGUUGUAAAGCACUGUCGAGGGGGAGGAAGCCGCAAGGUUGACCUAUCCCUGGAGGAAGGACGGGCUAAGUUCGUGCCAGCAGCCGCGGUAAGACGAACCGUCCAAACGUUGUUCGGAAUCACUGGGCUUAAAGGGCGCGUAGGCGGGCUACCAAGUCCGGGGUGAAAUCUUUCGGCUCAACCGGAAAACUGCCUUGGAUACUGGUAGUCUCGAGGGAGGUAGGGGUCUGUGGAACUGAUGGUGGAGCGGUGAAAUGCGUUGAUAUCAUCAGGAACGCCGGUGGCGAAAGCGACGGACUGGACCUUCACUGACGCUGAGGCGCGAAAGCUAGGGGAGCAAACGGGAUUAGAUACCCCCGUAGUCC